UACGGAGGGUGCUAGCGUUGUUCGGAAUUACUGGGCGUAAAGAGUGCGUAGGCGGUUUAGCAAGUUAGAAGUGAAAUCCCGGGGCUUAACCUCGGAAUUGCUUUUAAAACUGCUAAACUAGAGUGUGGUAGGGGACAGUGGAAUUCCUAGUGUAGGGGUGAAAUCCGUAGAUAUUAGGAGGAACACCAGAGGCGAAGGCGACUGUCUGGGCCAUUACUGACGCUAAGGCACGAAAGCGUGGGGAGCAAACAGG
This 253-nucleotide unclassified non-coding RNA is filed under the name uncultured Rickettsiales bacterium. RNAcentral describes it as "contains 16S-23S intergenic spacer region". It matches the Rfam family "Bacterial small subunit ribosomal RNA", at positions 524 to 776 of the family's 1533-position model. The record is from RNAcentral. Lineage: Bacteria; Pseudomonadati; Pseudomonadota; Alphaproteobacteria; Rickettsiales.